This 330-nucleotide unclassified non-coding RNA is filed under the name Melitaea cinxia (Glanville fritillary). RNAcentral describes it as "misc RNA ENSMCXG00005005461.1". The record is from RNAcentral. Lineage: Eukaryota; Metazoa; Arthropoda; Insecta; Lepidoptera; Nymphalidae.
GUGUUGCCGCGCAAGGCAAUCUAGUUUAUAUAUUUUUUCUAAUAAUAGUAAUUGUAGAAUUAUUGUAGUAUAUCUAAUAUUAGUUAAUUAGUUGUUAUCUGUAGUUUGCAUUAUUUCUUGUAAAAUUAUUAUCUGUAUUCCUUUGUAGAAUUUCAUUGUCUUUUGCAUAAUCUUGUAUUAUCUAUAACUUUUUCCGGCCCUUCCUAAUUUAACUUCUCAACAUGUCACAUCGUAUUAAAAGCAAUUAAUUAAAAUUUAAAAGUAUAUUGAGUUUUAAUUAACAAAUUAAGGCUCCAUUAUGUAUCAAAUACAGUAUGAAUUACUAAAAUA